Aphis gossypii (cotton aphid) is the source of this 6123-nucleotide long non-coding RNA. RefSeq lists it as uncharacterized. Lineage: Eukaryota; Metazoa; Arthropoda; Insecta; Hemiptera; Aphididae. The transcript has 3 exons. The record is from RefSeq and is a predicted model, not a curated record.
UAAUGAAUUGACAAAUUAAAAAAUAAAUAUUUAGUCAUAGAAGAGACAUUCUUGAACAUAAAAAAUUGUAUAAAUUAUUUGUUUUAAAUAUUAUUACAUUUUUUAAAUUUGUUAUGGACAAAUCCAGGCCUUUUUGUAUUAGAAAUAUAUACAUAAAAAAAAAUAAUAAUUAUGUAAAAUUUGUAGUUAUUUUUACAGUUAACAUAUUAUGCACUAAUAAAAAUUUGGUUGGUUAAAUAGUUUAAACAAUUAUAUAUAUCAAUUAUCGUUUUAUUAUUUUUAUUCAUUGGCAUAGUUCUAUUUCAUAUAAUUUCUAUUUUAUGUUAUAACUCACAGGCUGUUUCCUUAUAGUCUAGAAAUUAUGACUAAAACUUAUGACAUAACUUAUUAUAACUGUCACUUGUUAGUGUAUUAAAAUAUUCCAAUCUCAUGCAUAUAAUAUAAUUAUACUGCCAAAUAUUUAUUUAUAUUGAAUUAAAUUUUUUAUAAAACAAAGUAUGAUUUUACAAUUGUUAUCACAUUAAAUGGAUAGCAUACACUAUAAACAAUUAUCCUCGUAAAUCAUGAUUAGUAUCAUGAGAAGUAAAAAUAGUAUCUAUGUGUUUUAGAUAUCAUAAAAAUCAUUUUAAUUAUAAAAUAAAGUCUAAAAUAAUUUAAUAAGAAAUAAUUAUUAAAUAACAUUUAUUGUAAGAAACAGUUCAUUAUUGUAUUUUAAGAAUAUAAAUGUAUUUUAAAAACCAUUAUAACUUAUAUUUGUAUAAAAGAUGUAUAAUUAUAUACUUCAAUAAAUAAUUACAAUGUAUGCCCAUAAAUAUAUAUAUUUUUUAUAACAUAAGAUUUAUAUUUUAAAUUUUAUUAUAAUUAUAAUAUAAAUUGUGUCUUAUGAUUAUAUAUCACUUAUUAAUAUUGUUUUAAUGUAAUAUAAUAAAAUAUAUUUUGUGUACUUAUUGAAAAUAUUGUAACUGGUUUGUUUAAAAUUAUUAAUUUGUUUCAAUGGUAUUAGGUAUCAUUUAAUAAUGUAUGUAUUUAUUUUUAUUGAUUAUAUUUAUAUUUAAUGUAACAAAUCCAAAGAAUGCAAUAGUAGUUAUAGCAAUCAUUUAAGCAACGUGUUAACAUGAUUCAUUGUUUAUGAUAUUGUUAUUGUUAAAAACAAUUCUUUUAGUUAUUACUAAAAGUAAUCAUAACUAUAUGAUUGUUGCAGUUGUAUCGUUAUAAAAAACAAAUGAUUAAAAGUAUCAUACAAUAAAUUAUUAAAUUUUGUCUUUAAUUGCUUAAUAGAAUAGAUAGUUUAAUAUAUAUGUUAUAUUAAUUUUCUUAAUAGUGUGUAAAACAAUUAUAUAAUUAUAUAAUUUUUACAUGUGAUAUUGUAAGUGCUCAGUUUAUUCAUUAAAUUUAGUGUUUAUAGUUAUCCUAAAAUAUGUAUCAUAAUAUAGUUAAAUUAAUAAAAAAAUAAAAAGUAUUUUAUGUAUCAAAUAUAUGUGACUUGAGAUACAUGAUAUACUGGUACUAAAUAUAUAUAAUGCUAUAUUGUUUUGCUAUGUAUAGAUAAAUUAAGUAUUAAGUUUACAUUAUAUGGGAGUACAAAUUUAAAUUUAUAUGUCAUAGCAUAGUAAGAUAUGAGAUAUUCUAAUCAAUGAAUUUUAUAUAUUUUUUUUUUGUUUUAUACCUAAUAAAUAUAGAAAAUAUGUAUAUAUUUUGUUAUAAAUAAUUAUGUAUAGUUCUUAACAAUAAUUAUUUUCUCUAUUUAACAAAAUCUUCAAUUCAUUGAUAAUAUUAAAUUGAAUACAUUAUUCAAAUUGUAUAACAAUUUAUUUUACUUUUAAAAUAUAGCAUAACACCUGCUUACUUUGAAUAACAAAUCAAAAAAAUAAAUAUUAUUUGUUAAUAUAAUUAGUAUCACACAAUUACAAAAGAUAUCUCGCGUUAUUAAGAAUACAUUUUACACUUAAUAUUAUUUAAUUGUGCAUGUAAAAAAAAUACUAUUUAUUUUAAUAUAACUGUGUCUCUGUUCUAAAAAAGUACUCUUAUAUCAAAUAUGGGAAGUAAACUAUUUUAGUCGAGAGUAUAAGCUACAGGUACACGAUGCAUUUGUCCAAGACUGAAAUUGCCUUUCAACUCAAACCACACAUAUUACAUAUUUUUAUAACACUUCUAUCUUAUCAUUAUUAUGAUUAUCUGUUACAAACUGUUUUUGAACUAACAGCACAAGAGUAUCUCACCCAUCAUCUCUCUAAAAUGUUACCUGUGGAUGCCCUUUCUAACUACCUACUAGUAUUUAACAUUUGUAUAUGUAAAAUAACAUGUCAUGAUUCACUGAUUCAUCAUCUAACAAGAACUACUUUAGCUAUGAGUAUGAAAUUUGGUUUGUAUUUUUGUUAUAUAUUGUAGACCCAAUAAGAAAGAAUUUUUCCAAAAUUAAUUUCUUUUAAAGAGGUUAAAAGAAAUGAAAAACAUUAUUUCUUGGUUAAUUAUUUUUGGAACUUAGUAUACAAACCUUUUAAUAGUCAUUAUAAUAGUAUACAAUUGUACCUUUAUUUUAUAUUUGGUUAAAACCACUCAAAUGAUUGUUUAAAAUGCGUGUAGUUUUUAUUUAACUGAAUUUAAUACAGAGUAAAUCUAUUAGUAUUAAUUUAUUUGUCAUAAGCAACACCGAGCAAGAUCAGCUAGUAAUAAAUUAUAUGUAUCGAUACUUUAUGUAUAUUAAUCUGGUUUAGAUUAUAAUUUUCUGACUGCUGCAUGGUGAAUGUUUCCAUUUUUUACUCACUGUAUUCUACAAUUUUCACUUAAAUGUCUGUUGGAGAUUAAAAAAAAAAAUUUACAGUAUUUUAAGAAAGUAGCAAAAAGAAGUAAAAAAUUGAACUUUGAGUUUAGGCAUGACAAAAAUUAGUUUUACAUUUUCAGCGUAUUUAAAUUAAAGAAUAAUGAACAAUAAAUUUUAUGUACCUAAUCUUAAAACUUAAAAAUAUAUCUCAUGUCAAAUUUGGAAAUUGUAGUAUAUUGAUAUGAGUUACUUACAUUUUUAAUUACCCCUAUUAAUUAUUACAUUUGUUUUACUUCUAGAUGUAUCAAUUUACUUGGAACGAACAUGAGCAGUAUAUAUAUAUAUUAAGUAAAAACAUUUUAAUUACAAUAUUUAAAUAUUUUGUUAAAUGAAAACAGUUUAUAUGAUGUACAGUUGAUGUAUUCAUAUUGACUCAGAUUGUGGAAAAUGGCAGUGAUAGAACAUUGGAAAAGUUUGUGGUAUAAGAUUUAAUAUUUUUUUAAUGGUAUUCAUUUGGUUGAUGGUGAAGAAGAAAUUCACUGCCCUAACAAAUGCGGUCGUAAGUAUAAGCACAAAGGCAGUGUGGCUAGACACUUGAAGUAUGAAUGUGGAGUGAAUCCUAAAUUCCAAUGCAUUAUUUGCCGCAAGCCUUUCAAGCAACGUAUCAAUCACAAGAUACAUAUGAUUAGAAUACAUAACUGCGUCAUGUGAAUGAUGACAGUAUAUUAUAUAAAAUAUUGUUUAUUUUAAAUUUAUAAAUUUAUAAUUAUUUAUUAUUGAAUAUUUGUUAUACGUAUAUUUGAAAAUGAUUUUAACUGUUGUUUUGCCAUGAAAUAAAUUCUAUCCUAUUAUUAUACCAAAAUAAUAUUUUAUUAAAAUUAAAUUUUAUGAUAUACUUUGGUCUUGGGUUGUUUGUUUGAAAUAAAAAAUAUGUAAGAAACUAAAUUUAACAAUUGUCACCUUCUUAUCUAUAAAUCUGUGCUUUAAAUAUAACUACUAAAUGGUUAGAUUAUUUGUUUGUAAAUAUUGUAAAUAAAACCAUUCAAUAUCUAUUUAUUUUUUCACAGAAAUACGUAUACUAAGUACUAUAUCAUUAGUCAACAGUGUUGAAGAAGUGAUUUAUUGUCCUCAAAAUUGUGGCAAAAGUUAUAAAAAUGUAUCUUGUUUAAAAAAACAUUUAAAAUAUGAAUGCAACAAAGCACCACAAUUUCAGUGUCGAUUCUGCGAUAAAAAGUGUAAAAGGCCUGAUAAUUUAAAAAAUCAUAUGCGGUUAGUGCAUGGUUAUGGUAAGAUUGUAAUAGUUGAGAGUCUUUCUGAAGAUGAAGUUUUUGAAGAAGCAUAAGUUAUGGAUUUUUUUGUAAUUCAAAAUAUACAUACCUAGUAAAAAGUUUUUAAGAAAUUAAAUUAAGAAUAUUUACAUGUAACUACUAAUAACUUGAUUAAUAUUAAAAUGUUAUAGUUUUAUUUUUUUUUCAAAAUAUGUUAUUCAAAUAAAUAAAAAUGAAAAUCAUAAGCUAUAAAAUGUAUUAAUUUUUAUUUUAUAAUUUUAAUUGCUUUGAAAAAUAUAUGGUAAUUAAUAAAUAUACUAUGUUUAGCAAAUUGAAGAAGCAAAUGAGCUGAGAUAUAAAGAUAUUAAGAGUGUGUGGAUGAUCACUUUCUAGUAUCAACAUUGUUUUAUGCACAAAGGCAUUAAUAUUUACAUUUAAAUAAUACUACAUCAUUGUUAAAUAACUCUGAAGAUGUAUACAUAUGUCCUCAAAAUUGUGGUAAAACUUACAAAUAUUAUUCCAGCCUUUACAAACAUUUAAAAUAUGAGUGUAAUAAAACACCACAAUUGAAGUGUCUCUUCUGUGAUAAAAUGGUUAAACGGCCUGAUAAUUUAAAAAAUCAUAUGUUAAUAGUACACAAAUAUGUGGCAAAGAGUAAAAACAAUAUUUAAUUUAUUUAAAUUAGUUAAUAAAUUUUCAGAUGAGUAAUAUCUUUAAAAAAAUUAUUCUAUCUAAUGGUUAGUUUUCAUCAGGUACAAAUUGUUAGGCAUAUUCUUUUAUUGUUAUAAAUGUUGAUGUUUUUAUUAAUUAUAUAUUUAUUAUGAACUUUGGUAUAAUUUUUUUUAUAAUGAAUAAAUAUUUAAAUGUACCCAUUUUGUUUGUAUUGAAAAUUAAUUAUUAUAUUAUAAAAUAAAGUUUUAUUUAUUUUUGUGUGUAUUUUAAGUUUUAACCUUAUUCAUCCCUAAUUACAUGAUAUUUUUAUCAUUUUUAAAAUUAUUUGUUUUAAUGCAAGUUGACUUUUGCAAUCAAAGUUAUUAAUUUAAACGCAAUUAAUUUGUCCAUCAAAAAUUUGUGGAGUUCAACCAAAAUUUAGCUUUUAUGUUUGUUUCAAAAAAUUUUUUCACAGAUAAAGUCUACAGAAUCAGUUGUUUCACCCCAAACAUCCCCAAACGUCAUUCUGCUUUAGGGAAACCGGUUUCAAUAGUUUUCAAUAGCAGAGAGACGUGGGGGGGGGAUGCGCGAAUCAUAUGCGUUCUCUCUUGGUACGGAGUAUAAUAUAUAUAUAUAUUAUAUUAUAAGUAAUAUUAUUGAGGUUCAUAAUUGAGACUAUAUUUUCUAUAGGUACUUAAUUUUGAUUAGUGGAACCCAUUUUAAAUUUAACUCAAUGUGUAUUGUUUUUACUUUUUAUGCUUUAAUUAUAUGCAUAUUUAGUUUUUUAAAUUUUUAACUAAUGCUUUGGGUUAUUUUAAGAUUUGGAGUAUAUUUAAUUUUAAAAAGAUUACUUAGAAAAUAAUGUUAUUUGUUUUAGUGCCUGUAAACUGCUUUUUUUGCAACAAUUGUGGUCGAAGUUAUAAAUAUAAGCGUAAUUUAUUUGCACACCAGAAAUUUGAAUGUGGAAUUCAACCAAAAUUUAAGUGUAACGUUUGUUUUAAACAAUUUGCUCUCAGAGGAGUUUUACGAAAACAUUUGAUCCUGGUUCAUAAAAUAAUAUAAUUAUUACAACAAUUAAAAUUUGUUUUAAAAUGUUUUCUGUAGAGGAAGUUGGCAGAAUCAUUAAGUUAUGAAUGUUAUGAUUUGUAAAAUAUUAGAAUUAGUUAACAAUUAAAAAAAGUUUAUUAAACUGUAUAACUUCAUAAAUAAAUCCAAACUUCAAAAAAUAGUAUGAAAAGUAUAAAUGAUGUAUGUUUUAAUUUUAUUUUAUUAAUAAUGUACAUCACAUUUUAAAUCUUAUAUUAUACCAAUUUAAUGACUGAAUUAAUAGGUUAUUUAUAAACUAUCUUAAAACUAUCACAAUAUAUACUUACAAAUUGUUUAAGAGUAUAACAAUUGUUAUUUAAUUAGUUAGAAAAAUUAUAUUUUUAAAACCAUUGUAAU